Molecule: long non-coding RNA, 730 nt
Filed under: Elaeis guineensis (African oil palm)
Lineage: Eukaryota; Viridiplantae; Streptophyta; Magnoliopsida; Arecales; Arecaceae
Description: long non-coding RNA (EGUI_LNC045786)
Source: RNAcentral
CCUCUCUUCUCUCUUGAAGAUCCAACGCCUAAGCCUUGGGCAUCCUCCAUCUUCCACACCCAAAGGAGUUUGGGUGUCCCCUUUGUUUGCUGGUUUCUAAUUCCUGAUUGCUUCAUAGUCAAGAAAAGAAAAGCAAAAGAAAAAGAGAAGAAGAAGAUCAAGGAAAGGAUCAAAGAGUUGAUUGCGAUCCAAGCUUUGUUCAGAUUCGCAGGCUGAUUUUUCUUAGAAAAAAAAAAUCAAUACCAGAGAGGAUUGUUCCAGUCUGAUCUUAAGUGGAUACCCGUAGAGGCCGGACACUUGCGCGGCUAAGAAAAAACCUACUCUCUUCUAGAUCCAAAUUUGAAAAAAAGAUUUGCAAAACAGAUAUGUGAUUCGAUCACAUAUUCAAUUUUAGCAUAUGUUCAAUUUCAGCAUAUGAAAUAGAUCCUAGUGUUUUAUGUUUUAUGCAUGCAUGAUGUAGAUUAAAAGAUAUUUUAAUCUUUUAUUCUACUGCGUUGUUUAGAAAAAAAAAUUUUAAAAUAUACAUGCAUGCCCCGACAUGGAAAUUCCAAUAGUGGUAUCAGAGCCACGGGUUUCAUAUGCAUGAAAUUGACAUAUAUGUUUUGAAAGAAGUUUCAAAAUCUGAUUUUUUCUUGAUACAUAAAAUGUAUAUAUGAUUGUUUUGAAUCUAAAAUUUAUUUUAGAUUUAAUUUUAGAACAUAUACUUGAUAUGUAAAAGCAUGUAUAGAUC